This 253-nucleotide ribosomal RNA is filed under the name uncultured bacterium. RNAcentral's name for it is "partial 16S ribosomal RNA". It matches the Rfam family "Bacterial small subunit ribosomal RNA", at positions 524 to 776 of the family's 1533-position model. The record is from RNAcentral.
UACAGAGGUGGCAAGCGUUGUUCGGAAUUACUGGGCGUAAAGGGCGCGUAGGCGGUCUUUUAAGUCUUGUGUGAAAUCCCUCGGCUCAACUGAGGAACUGCACGGGAUACUGGAAGACUUGAGUUCGGGAGAGGGAAGCGGAAUUCCGGGUGUAGCGGUGAAAUGCGUAGAUAUCAGGAGGAACACCGGUGGCGAAGGCGGGUCUCUGGGCAACAACUGACGCUGAGGAGCGAAAGCGUGGGGAGCGAACAGG